UACGGAGGAUCCAAGCGUUAUCCGGAAUCAUUGGGUUUAAAGGGUCCGUAGGCGGUUUGGUAAGUCAGUGGUGAAAGCUCAUCGCUCAACGGUGGAACGGCCAUUGAUACUGUCUGACUUGAAUUAUUAGGAAGUAACUAGAAUAUGUAGUGUAGCGGUGAAAUGCUUAGAUAUUACAUGGAAUACCAAUUGCGAAGGCAGGUUACUACUAAUGGAUUGACGCUGAUGGACGAAAGCGUGGGGAGCGAACAGG
Molecule: ribosomal RNA, 253 nt
Filed under: uncultured bacterium
Lineage: Bacteria
Description: partial 16S ribosomal RNA
Rfam family: Bacterial small subunit ribosomal RNA
Source: RNAcentral